AUUGAACGCUGGCGGCAUGCCUUACACAUGCAAGUCGAACGGUAACAGGUCUUCGGAUUCUGCCGAGGGGCGGACGGGUGCGUAAUACAUCGGAACGUGCCCGAUCGUGGUUGUUAACGGAGCGAAAGCUUUGCUAAUACCGCAUAAUAUCUACGAAUGAAAGCGGGUGAACGCAAGGCCUUGCGCGACCUGGGCGGCCGAUGGCAGAUUAGGUAGUUGGUGGGAUAAAGGGUUACCAAGGCGACGAUCUGUAGCUGGUCUGAGAGGACGACCAGCCACACUGGGACUGAGACACGGCCCAGACUCCUACGGGAGGCAGCAGUGGGGAAUUUUGGACAAUGGGCGAAAGCCUGAUCCAGCCAUGCCGCGUGGAGGAUGAAGGCCUUCGGGUUGUAAACUGCUUUUGUACGGAAAGAAAAGACUCUGGUUAAUACCUGGGGUCCAUGACGGUACCGUAAGAAUAAGCACCGGCUAACUACGUG
This 482-nucleotide ribosomal RNA is filed under the name uncultured bacterium. RNAcentral describes it as "partial 16S ribosomal RNA". It matches the Rfam family "Bacterial small subunit ribosomal RNA", at positions 30 to 507 of the family's 1533-position model. The record is from RNAcentral.